GUAGGAGGGGAAGUUACAAGAGGAUGAAUACCACCUGGUGUCCUUUACUGGGGAGGCCACAAUGUAGCAUUCUACCAUGUCAGAAAUAAUAGUCACAGUAGCACUCUGUUACUUAUGGAACACUUACGUGGGCCUGCCAAUGUGAUUGCUCUUGGUCACCAUAGUAACACAACCUCUCAGCUUGGUAUGUUUAUCACCAGUGGAUUGGAAAGGAAACAGCCUCAGAGACUCUAAGUGACCUGACAAGAAGACAAGAGUCCUGUGCCUGGCUGGGGUCAAGUCUGAGAACGGUGUUGUCUCAUCAGGCUAGACUGGGCUGUCAUAUCGUGGAAGACCUGCACAAGGGGGACUAAGCAAGGUGUGAUCGGCCAAAAAGGAGAGAACAGAUGACCGUCAGUUUCCCAUGCAGGCAUUCCAGAGAAGGUGUCAGUGGGUUGGGAAUAAAGGAAGAGCUCCUGUCAAGGCA
Molecule: long non-coding RNA, 466 nt
Organism: Suricata suricatta (meerkat)
Lineage: Eukaryota; Metazoa; Chordata; Mammalia; Carnivora; Herpestidae
Exons: 2
Source: RefSeq, a predicted model, not a curated record